UCAGCCUCUCAAAGACAACUCCAUCUCUCAUUCACAUGCUCUCUUCUCCCAUCUCUAACUAUAAGUACAUAAUAAAGAGUUGUAGACAAAUUAUAGACCCUACCCUUCUCAAUUCAUCACAGCCUUAUCCCCUUCUUUCUCAACUUUCUGUGAUUCACAACCAUAUAACCCUCUUACCCCAUCCCUUCAUUCUUAGUAGUGCUACAGUAGUGUCCAUGGAUUUUUUCCAUUCCUUGGCUUGCAGAGCAGGGAAGCUCAUUUUUUUCAUUGAAGAAGGUGGGGUUGUACCACCAUCUACAACACGGGUUGACACUCCAGCAUGUGUUCUCCCACUCACUCACAAGACUUAGUCCACCCCAUUUUUAGUUAGAAGCAACGUUGCAGAAGUAUGUUAUCAAUGAUAGCUACUCAGCUUGUUUCUUCUCAACUAGUGUUUCUUCUCAACUAGUGAUAAUCCUAUCAUUUAUGAUUGUAGAAUGUCUAAAACACAUUGCAACUAAGGGGAUGAUGUUGGACGAUGUUUGGAAUGAGAUGAGGUUCCUUCAAGUGCACCAAGGUUGAUGUCAGGUUUGCAGGACGAGUUAAUGUACACAGAAAAUGACUUCAGAAUGACUUUAGAUGAACAUGAGAUUGCAUGGCAUUAUCAACCGUGGAUAGAGUGUAUACCUGAAUUUGAAUUGAAUUGGUUUUAAGUUAAUGAAACCAUAAUUGGAUUGGGAAGCGGGUUUGGAGUUUUGGAUCAUCCAGGUCAAAUCAGGCAUAAUGUUAUGUUUUUUUUAUUAUAGUUGACUUAAGUAGAUUGAGUUCUUAAAUAAUGUUAUGUUUUAUGAUUAUUGAAUUCUAUAAAUGAUUAUUAUUUAUCACAUGAAUAGUAUUUUUCUCGUUUUCUUGUAAAAUAAAAUAUCUUAUUAUGUUUGAGCUUAGAUGAUUUUUUUUUUU
This 939-nucleotide long non-coding RNA is filed under the name Glycine max (soybean). RNAcentral describes it as "long non-coding RNA (GMAX_LNC004574)". The record is from RNAcentral. Lineage: Eukaryota; Viridiplantae; Streptophyta; Magnoliopsida; Fabales; Fabaceae.